CCGCACUAGUCGGGGAGUUAGCGGUGCCCUGUACCUGCAACCCGCUACAGCAGGGAUGAAUCCCGGCCCCCGGAACUGCGUUGUGCUGUCUGCCCCAGGUAAGCAGCGAUGAUGGAUCGGUCCCGCGCAAGGCCGCACCGUGAACCGUGUCAGGCGGGGAACCGAGCAGCACUAAGCGGACCGCGACCUGUGCCGCGGGGGUCCCGCUCCUGAGCCGGCUGCCUGGGUAACGGGUAUAGCGCAGUCUCCAAAGGCCGGUGUGCGG
Non-coding RNA from Flavonifractor plautii ATCC 29863, 265 nucleotides. The record is from Rfam. NCBI's taxonomy places the organism in Bacteria, Bacillati, Bacillota, Clostridia, Eubacteriales, Oscillospiraceae.